RNAcentral lists this ribosomal RNA (460 nucleotides) under uncultured bacterium. RNAcentral describes it as "partial 16S ribosomal RNA". It matches the Rfam family "Bacterial small subunit ribosomal RNA", at positions 338 to 795 of the family's 1533-position model. The record is from RNAcentral.
CCUACGGGAGGCAGCAGUGAGGAAUAUUGGACAAUGGACGCAACUCUGAACCAGCCAUGCCGCGUGCAGGAAGACGGCUCUAUGAGUUGUAAACUGCUUUUGUACGAGGGUAAACGCAGAUACGCGUAUCUGUCUGAAAGUAUAGUCCGACUAAGGAUAGGCUAACUCGGUGCUAGCAGCCGCGGUAAUACGGAGGAUUCAAGCGUUAUCCGGAUUUAGUGGGUGUAAAGGGUGCGGAGGCGGGCGGAUAAGUUAGAGGUGAAAUCCCGAGGCUCAACUUCGGAAUUGCCUCUGAUACUGUUCGGCUAGAGAGUAGUUGCGGUAGGCGGAAUGUAUGGUGUAGCGGUGAAAUGCUUAGAGAUCAGACAGAACACCGAUUGCGAAGGCAGCUUACCAAGCUACUUCUGACGUUGAGGCACGAAAGCGUGGGGAGCAAACAGGAUUAGAUACCCGGGUAGUC